Molecule: ribosomal RNA, 560 nt
Filed under: uncultured Glomus
Lineage: Eukaryota; Fungi; Glomeromycota; Glomeromycetes; Glomerales; Glomeraceae
Description: SSU rRNA
Rfam family: Eukaryotic small subunit ribosomal RNA
Source: RNAcentral
AAUUGGAGGGCAAGUCUGGUGCCAGCAGCCGCGGUAAUUCCAGCUCCAAUAGCGUAUAUUAAAGUUGUUGCAGUUAAAAAGCUCGUAGUUGAAUUUCGGGAUCAAUAUUUCGGUCAUGCCGUUGGUAUGCACUGUUAUCAUUGAUUUCUCACCUUCUAAAGAACCGUAAUGCCAUUAAUUUGGUGUUACGGGGAAUUAGGACUGUUACCUUGAAAAAAUUAGAGUGUUUAAAGCAGGCUCACGCUUGAAUACAUUAGCAUGGAAUAAUGAGAUAGGACAUCCGAUUCUAUUUUGUUGGUUUCUAGGAUCGAUGUAAUGAUUAAUAGGGAUAGUUGGGGGCAUUAGUAUUCAAUUGUCAGAGGUGAAAUUCUUGGAUUUAUUGAAGACUAACUACUGCGAAAGCAUUUGCCAAGGAUGUUUUCAUUAAUCAAGAACGAAAGUUAGGGGAUCGAAGACGAUCAGAUACCGUCGUAGUCUUAACCAUAAACUAUGCCGACUAGGGAUCGGAUGAUGUUAAUUUUUUAAUGACUCAUUCGGCGCCUUACGGGAAACCAAAGUGU